This 736-nucleotide long non-coding RNA is filed under the name Mytilus galloprovincialis (Mediterranean mussel). Lineage: Eukaryota; Metazoa; Mollusca; Bivalvia; Mytilida; Mytilidae. The record is from RNAcentral.
UCCAAAAUUGGAAAAUCCCCCCUUUUUUAAGCAUAAAAAUUCAUAACACAGAAAUGUAAAAUCUGAAAUUUAUAAAAAUUGAAAUGGAGCUUACAUCAAUAGAUAUAAACAAUUCACCAAAGUUUCAUGGACAUUGGUGAAAGCCUUUUUGAGAUAUUGUCCGAAGUGUUGAAAAUCCCCCUUUUUUUUAUGAAUAAAGCCCCAUAAAUCCAAAACUUAAAAUCUGAAAUUUAUAAAAAUUGAAAGGGAGCUUUACAUCAAUAGAUAUAAACAAUUCACCAAAGUUUCAUGGACAUUGGUGAAAGCCUUUUUGAGUUAUUGUCCGAAGUGUUGAAAAUCCCCCUUUUUUUUUAUGAAUAAAGCCCCAUAAAUCCAAAACUUAAAAUCUGAAAUUUAUAAAAAUUGAAAGGGAGCUUACAUCAAUAGAUAUAAACAAUUCACCAAAGUUUCAUGGACAUUGGUGAAAGCCUUUUUGAGUUAUUGUCCGAAGUGUUGAAAAUCCCCCCUUUUUUAUGAAUAAAGCCCCAUAAAUCAAAAACUUUUUUUUAAUGUCCUCACUAUGUCAGUAUAUUUUGCUAAUCUUAAUUGCACUUCGAUCUGUCAUGUCUGUAUAAACUUAAAUUUGACAACAUUUCAUAUAAACCAUACGUUUUGAUUGGUCCAUAAAGUAUUUGCAAUAAAGAUGGAGGGGACCUUCAGUUAUCCAAAACUAAUUAAGGCAUUGGAAUAAACAAGC